Molecule: ribosomal RNA, 406 nt
Filed under: uncultured bacterium
Lineage: Bacteria
Description: partial 16S ribosomal RNA
Rfam family: Bacterial small subunit ribosomal RNA
Source: RNAcentral
AUUGAACGCUGGCGGCAGGCCUAACACAUGCAAGUCGAACGAGUGGCGGACGGGUGAGUAAUGUCUGGGACACUGCCCGACGGCGGGGGGUAGCUAUUGGAAACGGUAGCUAUUACCGCAUACCAUGGGGUAUGCCCAGAUGGGAUUAGAUAGUGGGUGGGGUAACGGCCCACAUCGGCGACGAUCCCUAGCUGGUCUGAGAGGAUGACCAGCAAAACUGGAACCGUGACACGGUCCAGACUCCUACGGGAGGCAGCAGGGGGGAAGAUUGGACAAGGGGCGCAAGCCUGAUGCAGCCAUGCCGCGUGUAUGAAGAAGGCCUUGGGGUUGUAAAGUACUUUCAGCGGGGAGGCGUUACCCGCAGAAGAAGCACCGGCUAACUCCGUGCCAGCAGCCGCGGUAAUAC